This 524-nucleotide ribosomal RNA is filed under the name uncultured bacterium. Its description in RNAcentral is "partial 16S ribosomal RNA". It matches the Rfam family "Bacterial small subunit ribosomal RNA", at positions 28 to 523 of the family's 1533-position model. The record is from RNAcentral.
GACGAACGCUGGCGGCGUGCCUAAUACAUGCAAGUCGAACGAAGCUGUUUUAACUGGUGCUUGCACCGACUUAAACAACUGAGUGGCAAACGGGUGAGUAACACGUGGGUAACCUGCCCCAAAGCGGGGGAUAACAUUUGGAAACAGAUGCUAAUACCGCAUAACCACAGAAACCACAUGGUUUCUGUGUCAAAGAUGGUUUCGGCUAUCACUUUGGGAUGGACCCGCGGCGUAUUAGCUAGUUGGUAAGGGAAUGGCUUACCAAGGCAAUGAUACGUAGCCGAACUGAGAGGUUGAUCGGCCACAUUGGGACUGAGAAACGGCCCAAACGCCUACGGGAGGCAGCAGUAGGGAAUCUUCCACAAUGGACGAAAGUCUGAUGGAGCAACGCCGCGUGAGUGAAGAAGGUUUUCGGAUCGUAAAACUCUGUUGUCAGAGAAGAACGUGUGCGAGAGUAACUGUUCGUGCAGUGACGGUAUCUGGCCAGAAAGCCACGGCUAACUACGUGCCAGCCGCCGCGGUAA